This is a long non-coding RNA of Octopus sinensis (East Asian common octopus), 266 nucleotides long. RefSeq lists it as uncharacterized. The record is from RefSeq and is a predicted model, not a curated record. The transcript is spliced from 3 exons. Lineage: Eukaryota; Metazoa; Mollusca; Cephalopoda; Octopoda; Octopodidae.
CCACAACCUGUACCUAAAUCUUAGAACCAUCAUGACAUCUGAUGUGGCUUUUUAAACCAGAAAAUGUUUUGAAAAGACACCCACAUAGAUUGCAAAUCUGAUUUGGACCACCAAGCGCUGCAGUUAAGUUCUGAUCUUUGUGGAUCUUAAAAUGUCUUUUGAGACCUACGUUAGAUUUGCAGACCUUCUGGCAUACAUUGCAUUGAAAAGUGUGCACAGACAUAUAGGCAGAUUAAUUGGUGGAAGUUAGUUUUUCAUGAGUUCGC